This is a long non-coding RNA of Mustela lutreola (European mink), 284 nucleotides long. RefSeq lists it as uncharacterized. The record is from RefSeq and is a predicted model, not a curated record. NCBI's taxonomy places the organism in Eukaryota, Metazoa, Chordata, Mammalia, Carnivora, Mustelidae. The transcript has 2 exons.
GAGUCUAGCAGUUAUGAGCUCAGACUUGUCAGGUGGAUAGAGUUGGUGGUAUUGCAUAAAGUGGUAGGAUUCUGAAGCAAGCUAAAACUCUCUUGAAUGCUCAUUUCUCACCUGUGAAGUGGGCUUACUUGUAUCUUCCUCACACACUUAUGAAGACUUUGUGGUAUACUGCAGUUAUUUUUAGCUUUCAUGACCUUUUUCGCAGAAGAGAAGACUGCAGGUCAGCAGCAUGGAUUAGAGAAAUCCCACUCCAAGCUGCAAUGAUAACUACUAUUGUCAAUCUG